AUUAAACGCUGGCGGCAUGCCUUACACAUGCAAGUCGAACGGCAGCACGGGGGCAACCCUGGUGGCGAGUGGCGAACGGGUGAGUAAAGCAUCGGAACGUGCCCUGGAGUGGGGGAUAACGUAGCGAAAGUUACGCUAAUACCGCAUAUUCUGUGAGCAGGAAAGCAGGGGAUCGCAAGACCUUGCGCUCUGGGAGCGGCCGAUGUCGGAUUAGCUAGUUGGUGUGGUAAAGGCCUACCAAGGCGACGAUCCGUAGCGGGUCUGAGAGGAUGAUCCGCCACACUGGGACUGAGACACGGCCCAGACUCCUACGGGAGGCAGCAGUGGGGAAUUUUGGGCAAUGGGCGAAAGCCUGAUCCAGCCAUGCCGCGUGAGUGAAGAAGGCC
RNAcentral lists this ribosomal RNA (386 nucleotides) under uncultured bacterium. RNAcentral's name for it is "bacterial SSU rRNA". It matches the Rfam family "Bacterial small subunit ribosomal RNA", at positions 29 to 416 of the family's 1533-position model. The record is from RNAcentral.